This 22-nucleotide non-coding RNA is filed under the name Arabidopsis thaliana (thale cress). Lineage: Eukaryota; Viridiplantae; Streptophyta; Magnoliopsida; Brassicales; Brassicaceae. The record is from RNAcentral.
CGCUUGUGGAGACGUCGCUGCC